RNAcentral lists this ribosomal RNA (782 nucleotides) under Escherichia coli. RNAcentral describes it as "partial 23S ribosomal RNA". It matches the Rfam family "Bacterial large subunit ribosomal RNA", at positions 407 to 1191 of the family's 2925-position model. The record is from RNAcentral. Lineage: Bacteria; Pseudomonadati; Pseudomonadota; Gammaproteobacteria; Enterobacterales; Enterobacteriaceae.
GAUGAGUAGGGCGGGACACGUGGUAUCCUGUCUGAAUAUGGGGGGACCAUCCUCCAAGGCUAAAUACUCCUGACUGACCGAUAGUGAACCAGUACCGUGAGGGAAAGGCGAAAAGAACCCCGGCGAGGGGAGUGAAAAAGAACCUGAAACCGUGUACGUACAAGCAGUGGGAGCCUCUUUAUGGGGUGACUGCGUACCUUUUGUAUAAUGGGUCAGCGACUUAUAUUCUGUAGCAAGGUUAACCGAAUAGGGGAGCCGAAGGGAAACCGAGUCUUAACUGGGCGUUAAGUUGCAGGGUAUAGACCCGAAACCCGGUGAUCUAGCCAUGGGCAGGUUGAAGGUUGGGUAACACUAACUGGAGGACCGAACCGACUAAUGUUGAAAAAUUAGCGGAUGACUUGUGGCUGGGGGUGAAAGGCCAAUCAAACCGGGAGAUAGCUGGUUCUCCCCGAAAGCUAUUUAGGUAGCGCCUCGUGAAUUCAUCUCCGGGGGUAGAGCACUGUUUCGGCAAGGGGGUCAUCCCGACUUACCAACCCGAUGCAAACUGCGAAUACCGGAGAAUGUUAUCACGGGAGACACACGGCGGGUGCUAACGUCCGUCGUGAAGAGGGAAACAACCCAGACCGCCAGCUAAGGUCCCAAAGUCAUGGUUAAGUGGGAAACGAUGUGGGAAGGCCCAGACAGCCAGGAUGUUGGCUUAGAAGCAGCCAUCAUUUAAAGAAAGCGUAAUAGCUCACUGGUCGAGUCGGCCUGCGCGGAAGAUGUAACGGGGCUAAACCAUG